UACGUAGGGUGCGAGCGUUAAUCGGAAUUACUGGGCGUAAAGCGUGCGUAGGCGGUUCGUUAAGUCGGAUGUGAAAGCCCUCGGCUCAACUGAGGAAGUGCACCCGAAACUGGCGAGCUUGAGUACGAAAGAGGAUCGCGGAAUUCCCGGUGUAGAGGUGAAAUUCGUAGAUAUCGGGAGGAACACCGGUGGCGAAGGCGGCGAUCUGGGUCGAUACUGACGCUGAGGUGCGAAAGCGUGGGGAGCAAACAGG
RNAcentral lists this ribosomal RNA (253 nucleotides) under uncultured bacterium. RNAcentral describes it as "partial 16S ribosomal RNA". It matches the Rfam family "Bacterial small subunit ribosomal RNA", at positions 524 to 776 of the family's 1533-position model. The record is from RNAcentral.